Molecule: transfer RNA, 69 nt
Filed under: Bos taurus (domestic cattle)
Lineage: Eukaryota; Metazoa; Chordata; Mammalia; Artiodactyla; Bovidae
Rfam family: tRNA
About the family: Transfer RNA (tRNA) molecules are approximately 80 nucleotides in length.
Source: Rfam by way of RNAcentral
UCCCUGGUAGCUCAGGUAAAGCAUCUGCCUGUAAUGCAGGAGACCCAGGUUCAAUCCUUGACCAGGAAG